UACGAAGGGGGCUAGCGUUGCUCGGAAUUACUGGGCGUAAAGCGCACGUAGGCGGCUCUUUAAGUCGGGGGUGAAAUCCUGGAGCUCAACUCCAGAACUGCCUUCGAUACUGUAGAGCUUGAGUUCGGGAGAGGUGAGUGGAACUGCGAGUGUAGAGGUGAAAUUCGUAGAUAUUCGCAAGAACACCAGUGGCGAAGGCGGCUCACUGGCCCG
Molecule: ribosomal RNA, 213 nt
Filed under: uncultured bacterium
Lineage: Bacteria
Description: partial 16S ribosomal RNA
Rfam family: Bacterial small subunit ribosomal RNA
Source: RNAcentral